RNAcentral lists this signal recognition particle RNA (302 nucleotides) under Aotus nancymaae (Ma's night monkey). Its description in RNAcentral is "Metazoan signal recognition particle RNA (ENSANAG00000005020.1)". It matches the Rfam family "Metazoan signal recognition particle RNA". From Rfam's summary of the family: The signal recognition particle (SRP) is a universally conserved ribonucleoprotein. It is involved in the co-translational targeting of proteins to membranes. The eukaryotic SRP consists of a 300-nucleotide 7S RNA and six proteins: SRPs 72, 68, 54, 19, 14, and 9. The record is from RNAcentral. Lineage: Eukaryota; Metazoa; Chordata; Mammalia; Primates; Aotidae.
GCCACUGGCUGCGAUGGCAUGUGCCUGUAGUCCCAGCUACUCAGGAGGCUGAGGCUGGAGGAUCUCUUGAGUCCAGGAGUUCUGAGCUGUAGUGCGCUAUGCCGAUCUGGUGUCCGCACUAAGUUCAGCAUCAAUCUGGUGAAUUCCCGGGAGCGGGGGACCACCAGGUUGCCUAAGGAGGGGUGAACCAGCCCAGGUCGGAAAUGGAGCAGGUCAGAACUCCCAUGCUGAUCAGUAGUGGGUUUGCGCCUCUGAAUAGCCACUGCACUCCAGCCUGGGCAACAUAGUGAGACCUCAUCUCU